Molecule: long non-coding RNA, 728 nt
Organism: Raphanus sativus (radish)
Lineage: Eukaryota; Viridiplantae; Streptophyta; Magnoliopsida; Brassicales; Brassicaceae
Exons: 3
Source: RefSeq, a predicted model, not a curated record
GCGCCACCGUAGCCGUGAAGAGUUUUUGUGAAGGUGGUGAAGGAACUCACCUCGAUGGAGACAUAAACUCUGCAACUAAUGUUUCAUUAUCCAUACUGCUGGUCUCACUGAAGUCCAAGACUAUAUCUAUGCCUUUCUGCGUAUAGAUAUUCCCCCAUAGCGGGGUUUGAUGCGGCUAGAGGAGACCCAUUAGGAUGCUGUGAUGAUGUAAGUUCUACAUUCUAAGACUGUUUUUGACAACUUCUGGAGUCGGUAUUGUCUUGUGCACUUCAUGAGAGGAUGUUCUGUUCAAUUUACAAGUUUGGUUAUAAGAUUAAUGACCACGCCUUCGAGAGCUGGCCUGCAAACUGUUCUUGAUUUAAUGAAAAGGAAGCUUGUUCGGGUUCCCACAUGGUGGAAAAUGAGGUCGAAAGAAGCUUUUGUACAACAUUAUCUCUGCUCGUAUGAGUUCAAGAUCGAAGAGAUGCUAGAAACACAUCUUCCUAAUCCCCUCUUAGCCACUGUAUUCUAAUUCUAAAAUCUUUUGAUGCCAUGAGCAUACUAAAAAUCAGGACACUGAUCUAGAUAUCUCGAUUCUGUUCAAGUGUCAGAAAGAGUUGUAUUAGUCUGAAGCCUUUCUCAUAUGAUAACAAGUUUUACUUACAGAAAGGAUUGAGCUUCUACGCAUGGAUGUCUGCUUCCUUCUAGUAAGAUAUGUCAACAUUCUCUCAGCAUUUAUGAAAUAAAAC